GGGGGGAGGCCAGAUCCUGGGCUGUGUCCCGGCGCCCAGUGCUCCUGCGCUGUUGGAUUCGUGCCCGGCGCACAGCCCCCU
This 81-nucleotide microRNA precursor is filed under the name Canis lupus familiaris (dog). RNAcentral's name for it is "mir-8799 microRNA precursor family". It matches the Rfam family "mir-8799 microRNA precursor family". The record is from Rfam by way of RNAcentral. Lineage: Eukaryota; Metazoa; Chordata; Mammalia; Carnivora; Canidae.